Molecule: ribosomal RNA, 255 nt
Filed under: uncultured bacterium
Lineage: Bacteria
Description: partial 16S ribosomal RNA
Rfam family: Bacterial small subunit ribosomal RNA
Source: RNAcentral
GUCCUAGCCUAACGAUGGAUGCUUGGUGUGGCGGGUACCCAAUCCCGCCGUGCCGGAGCUAACGCAGUAAGCAUCCCGCCUGGGAGUACGGUCGCAAGGCUGAACUCAAGGAAUUGACGGGCCCGCACAAGCGGUGGAGCAUGUGGUUCAAUUCGACGCAACGCGAAGAACCUUACCUGGGCUCGAAGCGUAGUGGACCGGGUGGAAACACUCCUUUCCGCAAGGACUGCUACGUAGGUGCUGCAUGGCUGUCGU